UAUUGGGCAAUGGCCGCGAGGCUGACCCAGCCAUGCCGCGUGCAGGAAGAAGGCCUUCUGGGUUGUAAACUGCUUUUGUCGGGGAAGAAAACGCCCCUGCGGGGGUAACUGACGGUACCCGACGAAUAAGCACCGGCUAACUCCGUGCCAGCAGCCGCGGUAAUACGGAGGGUGCAAGCGUUGUCCGGAUUUAUUGGGUUUAAAGGGUGCGUAGGCGGCCCGUUAAGUCAGCGGUGAAAUCCCGGGGCUCAACCCCGGAACUGCCGUUGAUACUGGCGGGCUUGAGUUCGGUCGAGGCGGGCGGAACUGGCGGUGUAGCGGUGAAAUGCUUAGAUACCGCCAAGAACCCCGAUUGCGUAGGCAGCUCGCUUGGCCGAAACUGACGCUGAGGCACGAAAGCGUGGGGAGCGAACAGG
RNAcentral lists this ribosomal RNA (416 nucleotides) under uncultured bacterium. RNAcentral describes it as "bacterial SSU rRNA". It matches the Rfam family "Bacterial small subunit ribosomal RNA", at positions 362 to 776 of the family's 1533-position model. The record is from RNAcentral.